AUCAUGCUAAAAUCUAAAAACUAUGGGUUUUCUCUUGCUUGUUCUUUACUAAAAUAAAUGUGUUCAGAUCUUUACAUGUCAUUAAGAUAACUAAUGUAAUUGUUUUUUUUCCCUUUCCCUUCACUUAAAGGAAAAACAGGCACAGAGCAAAGAAGCAAGAAGCAGUCUCUUUUUUUGGAAGGCACAGCAUGACUUCAGCACACUGAAGUUUCUCCAAAGCUUCGCUGUUAACAUUGUGGGAAUUCAGCACUUUCCUGCAGAUCAAAGUCCACGUGGCUUCUCCCGUGCAGGGAGUACAAGCAAAAUAGAUUUGCUUCUGUGGACACCCAAGGAGAACUGGGAAGACUUUUGAGAGAAUCUGGAGCAUUGGGAAAUCGUAAUUUGGGAGUAGGGGGAAUACAGCACAGCAGAAAUAUAGGCUGUUACUAUCAAUAUGCCUUAGUCCUACAUGGAUGAUAAUUGUGAAACAUAGGCAACAGAUUCUGAUGAAAUAGAUUAUAAUACGGUGUUCUGAGUAUGGUUUCAGAGAUAUAAAACAUAUAAUCAAUUGCUCAUCACAGAUCCUUAGAGACAUUGUACUUCUGUUUUGCACGAUUCUUUUACUGCUACACUUAUAUGCUUGUGUGUAUAUGCAUGUGUAUGUAUGUGCAUGAAUGUGCAGAUGCAUGUGGAAGUCAGAGGCCAAUGUUGGUCAACUGCUUUCCACUUUAUUAAGACGGCGUCUUCUACUGAACCGGGAAUUCACUGACUCAGCUAGGCUGUCUGGCUAGAGAGCGCCUUUCUCCACUUUGUAGCUCAGAUGAUUGGUGUGCAUCCCCAACCCCAGCAUUUUGCUUAGUGCUUAAGAUCAGAACUCAGGUCUUCCCGAUUAUAGGGCAAACCACUUUACUAACUGCCGUCUCUCUAGGACCCUGAUUAUUUUUUAAGUUAUGAAUCUUUUCUGUGAUUUUUUUUACAUGCUAAUUCUAAAGCUCUCGCAGGACUACAAAUAAAAAAGCAAGAAGAAGAUCA
RNAcentral lists this long non-coding RNA (1011 nucleotides) under Mus spicilegus (steppe mouse). RNAcentral describes it as "lncRNA (ENSMSIG00000014620.1)". The record is from RNAcentral. Lineage: Eukaryota; Metazoa; Chordata; Mammalia; Rodentia; Muridae.